Molecule: long non-coding RNA, 932 nt
Organism: Herpailurus yagouaroundi (jaguarundi)
Lineage: Eukaryota; Metazoa; Chordata; Mammalia; Carnivora; Felidae
Exons: 2
Source: RefSeq, a predicted model, not a curated record
UCACUCAGCACCUGUCUACACCUGCGUCUUCCCUGUUCUUCGUGAACCCAUAGCCUCCUCACUUGGGCUCAGCCACCCCAGUGAGAUCACGCCUCUCGCGGCCGCCCUCGGCCUCCCCACGACCACUUCGGCGUGCUCCCCUUCCCGUUGUGAAACCUCCUCCCCACGGGACUCACCUCUCGCCUCCCCUCCUGGCUCUGCCGUCCCGGAGGUCCCAUCCCUGCAGCGUGGCUGGUUCGCGCUGGUCUCCCCCAGGGCCCAGGGGUGGGCGUGUGCACGUUCCGACGCGUGACGACGACCGCCUGCGGCCCCCACGCCCCUUCCGCACGGCUCCCAUCUGCGCGCGCUGACCAGAAACCCGGAGCUCCCGCCUUUGGUGCCGGCGGGACGUUCGGGGCCCGGGCCCCUGCCCGCGGGGAGCCCCCACCUCGGGCCGUGCCGGCCACGACGGCACCCGCAGCCCGCCUCCUGCUCUCUCAGCUCAUUUCCGGCCGGCCUGGGAGGCCUGCCCGUUCUCCCGGAGACCUCGAUUAUGUCAGCGGAGGGGCCAGGAGAUGCCAUCCGGUCCUGACCUCCUCAGGUGUGGCCCCACCGUCCGUCGGUCCCAGGUGUGCUGUCGGGAAUGAGAAAGAAACUCAUCACAGCUGUUGCAUUGACACAAAGCAAUUAGGUGCGGGCUCCCUGGGGCCCAGGAGAGAGGACAGAGACACAGCCUCCUGCUGGACUGUCACACGAAGGCGUCCGUGCACCACAUCCCAGAUGUCACAUCAGUCGGUGACGACUGCCCAUUACAUCGCUUCUUGGAGGACGCUGCUCGGAAUUUCGUUUUACCUUGUUGGCUGCAGAUAAUAUUCCUUUGAAUCGUGUUUUGAAAUGUGAUCCUUUCAUUUGCAAAGCCUCGCAGAAAUGAUAAAGAAAAAUAAAUGAAUGAA